This is a long non-coding RNA of Melospiza melodia melodia, 1389 nucleotides long. RefSeq lists it as uncharacterized. The transcript is spliced from 4 exons. The record is from RefSeq and is a predicted model, not a curated record. NCBI's taxonomy places the organism in Eukaryota, Metazoa, Chordata, Aves, Passeriformes, Passerellidae.
AACAAGAGCAGGACUGAGCUCACGUGGAGCUCGUUAGGGAGCAAUCAGGGCACUCAGCUGUGGUGUGCACUCAGAAAUGUGAGUUCUCCCUAACAGGUGGGAGAAGCUGUUAUUGGUGAAGGUUCUUUGAUGUAUUUAAGGAAGGAUGGUGGAUGGAAGCCUGGCUCAUCACCAUGUGCUCAGGUGGGAGCACUCCCCCAGGCUGGCUGGGGGAAGCAAAGCAGCCCCUAGAUCUGCUCUGGAGCGUUUCUUUCUGACCUGUUGCCUUCAUGUUGUCAUCCUUUGCUGCUAAUUACUCUCUUCGUGCUUCUGGGAGCUGCUGUGUGGGCUUGGCAGAGGAGGCAGACUCAAUAUUCAGCCUUUAUGAGUUACGUGGUGCCAGCCAUGCUGGGGGAGCUGUUUGCAGAAGAAAACUUUUUGGUUUUUUUGUUUCCAACUUUAAUGGCUUCCGAAUAAUUGGAAAAAGAAUUUGUGCUAGAACUUUUCCAUCGUUGCCUCCCUGUGAAUGAAUCCAAGCCACACCCCUGCUGGACAACUGCCAAGGUCUCUGGGCCGUCCUUGUGAAGGCAAGGUGAGCCCUUCUGCCUGUGUAGGGAGCUGCCUCUGAGUGCCAGAAAUGUCCUUCUGAACAGACAGUCCAAUACAGCUUUGACCUAAUUGGUCAGUUGAAUCCAAACACCAUCACCAGUGGCCAAUGAAGAAAUCACCUUUUGGUAAACAAAUCUCCAUAACACAUUCCACAUGUUCACAACAACAGGUGCAGCAAGUAAAGCAGGGAGAACAGGCACCACAGCUGACAUGAGAGAGAAGCAGAAAAUUCUCCAAAGAAUAACAUUUUAAUUCAUCUUGAAAUAAACAUUGAGGGUCUGUGACUGACUCCUGUAAAGGUAGUAAAAAAAAUACCAUCUAGAAGAUGAACAGAAGCAGUAAAAGCCAUCUAUUGCAAUGUAUCAUGAUGCUGUUACAUUGCUAUCUGCCAACCAGCAAGUAAAAAUUCCUCCUGUGACAAAAUUGUAAAUGCCACAAUAACACCAUAUUUUCUGCUUUGUUUCUUGGAGGUGAAAAAAAAAAAAAAAGUGUAAACUUGGGAAAAAUAUGAAAAAAUAUCAUAUAAACGGGGGAUUUGUGUAAAACUCUGGGAGGGGAGCUGGGAGCUGGAGUCAUUUUUUUCUGGGGUCAGCUGACCCCAUAUCUCUGGGGUCAGAUUUAGGAUUAUUUGGCUGAUCAGGGUAGUUUUAAUCUGUAGAAUUUUUUUUUCCACAGAAAAAAAUAUUCUGAUGUACUGAUCACUCACCUGUUGGGUCUAAUGCUUCACAAUUGCCUGCAGCACUAUGGGUGCUCUAUUUUGCUAAAAAAUACACUCCUAAUCAGUCCUGUUUGUUAAGAAUA